GAUGAACGCUAGCUACAGGCUUAACACAUGCAAGUCGAGGGGCAGCAUGGUCUUAGCUUGCUAAGGCCGAUGGCGACCGGCGCACGGGUGAGUAACACGUAUCCAACCUGCCGUCUACUCUUGGACAGCCUUCUGAAAGGAAGAUUAAUACAAGAUGGCAUCAUGAGUCCACAUGUUCACAUGAUUAAAGGUAUUCCGGUAGACGAUGGGGAUGCGUUCCAUUAGAUAGUAGGCGGGGUAACGGCCCACCUAGUCGACGAUCAGUAGCCGACCUGAGAGGGUGAUCGGCCACAUUGGAACUGAGAAACGGUCCAA
Molecule: ribosomal RNA, 315 nt
Filed under: uncultured bacterium
Lineage: Bacteria
Description: bacterial SSU rRNA
Rfam family: Bacterial small subunit ribosomal RNA
Source: RNAcentral